GGCUUCACAUACCGCGAAUCCUCUUAAAAGAGAGGGGUGCCUUUGGGAAUGCAGAUAUAGAUGGUGCAUGGUUGUCAUCAGCUCAUGCUGUAAGGUAUUGGAUUAAGUCCCGCAACGAGUGCAACCCUCGUGUUUAGUUUUCACGAUUGAGUUUGGAACUCUGAGUAGACUACUGGUGAUAAGCAGGAGGAAGGUGAGGAUGACAUCAAAUCAUCAUGCCUAUUAUGCC
Gossypium arboreum is the source of this 229-nucleotide ribosomal RNA. It matches the Rfam family "Bacterial small subunit ribosomal RNA", at positions 978 to 1208 of the family's 1533-position model. The record is from Rfam. NCBI's taxonomy places the organism in Eukaryota, Viridiplantae, Streptophyta, Magnoliopsida, Malvales, Malvaceae.